CUGCGCCGGUGCAGGGGUGGUUCUCGUCGCUCUCGUACCGCCGGUGCUCGAGGCGCCGCGAGAAGAGGCAGGAGGGGGAGGGGUGUCGGUGGGGCCAGAGGCGGGCCCGUCCGUCGUCGGAAACGUCCGGCUGCGCGAGUCGGCGCCGGCAGAGGGGGUAGUCUACGAGGCGUCGGAGCGGGCUGGACAGCGGGCCGCGAGGCCGCGGCCGCGGCGGGUUCGGGGUUUAGCUCGAGCUCAAGCAGCCCGGAUUCGGCCCGCGGCUGCCCAGCAUGGGCCACCUGUCCCGCCGCCGCCACUCGCCGCUGUUCGAGGAGGCCCUGCAGUACGAACUCUUGUUCGAGCUCGAGAUGCGCCGUAUGCCCUUCGACUACUUGACGCCGCCGCCCCCGUCGACGCCGUGGACGGAGCAGCUCUAUUAGCUGCCCUUCCUCGACGACUCGGGUUCCUGGCUGCGGCUCUUAGCAAUGGACUUCUUCUUUGGCCUCAGCACCUCCGAGUGGACGGUCUGCUAGCAGCCCUUGUUCCUCUUGAGGCCGUUCCAACAGCAGGUUGCCGACGGGGUCACCUUCUUUACUGACUUGUUAGAACGUACGUGUAAGCUACCUGCCUGUCUUAUCUACUUGUCUCGUUCUUGCGUAGACGAUGACGACGACCGUAGUCAAUGUUUGGACAAAGAACCGUUUAGGGAUCAUGGUACAUACUAUCCCGCAUUAUCGUGUUAAACACAUAGAUUUUGGUAGAGGACCAAAAGAAGGACCUUAGUUACCGUUUAACAUUUAACAC
This 786-nucleotide ribosomal RNA is filed under the name Triticum aestivum (bread wheat). Its description in RNAcentral is "partial small subunit ribosomal RNA". Lineage: Eukaryota; Viridiplantae; Streptophyta; Magnoliopsida; Poales; Poaceae. The record is from RNAcentral.